This 310-nucleotide unclassified non-coding RNA is filed under the name plant metagenome. Its description in RNAcentral is "partial contains 5.8S ribosomal RNA, internal transcribed spacer 2, and large subunit ribosomal RNA". The stretch from base 1 to 105 matches the Rfam family "5.8S ribosomal RNA", at positions 50 to 154 of the family's 154-position model. The record is from RNAcentral.
GAAAUGCGAUAAGUAGUGUGAAUUGCAGAAUUCAGUGAAUCAUCGAAUCUUUGAACGCACAUUGCGCCCCUUGGUAUUCCAUGGGGCAUUCCUGUUCGAGCGUCAUUUGUACCCUCAAGCUCUGCUUGGUGUUGGGUGUUUGUCCCCGUCUCCGCGCGUGGACUCGCCCCAAAGUGAUUGGCAGCCGGCGUACUGGUCCCGGAGCGCAGCACAUGUCGCGCAAACGAGUGCCUUGGUACGGCGGCGUCCAUAAGCCCCUCUCUCACGCUCUUGACCUCGGAUCAGGUAGGGAUACCCGCUGAACUUAAGC